GCAUAUCAAUAAGCGGAGGAAAAGAAACUAACAAGGAUUCCCUAGUAGCGGCGAGCGAAGCGGGAAGAGCUCAAAUUUAUAAUCUGGCACCUUCGGUGUCCGAGUUGUAAUCUCUAGAAAUGUUUUCCGCGUUGGACCGCACACAAGUCUGUUGGAAUACAGCGGCAUAGUGGUGAGACCCCCGUAUAUGGUGCGGACGCCCAGCGCUUUGUGAUACAUUUUCGAAGAGUCCAGUUGUUUGGGAAUGCAGCUCAAAUUGGGUGGUAAAUUCCAUCUAAAGCUAAAUAUUGGCGAGAGACCGAUAGCGAACAAGUACCGUGAGGGAAAGAUGAAAAGCACUUUGGAAAGAGAGUUAACAGUACGUGAAAUUGUUGGAAGGGAAACGCUUGAAGUCAGACUUGCUUGCCGAGCAAUCGGUUUGCAGGCCAGCAUCAGUUUUCCGGGAUGGAUAAUGGUAGAGAGAAGGUAGCAGUUUCGGCUGUGUUAUAGCUCUCUGCUGGAUACAUCUUGGGGGACUGAGGAACGCAGUGUGCCUUUGGCGGGGGUUUCGACCUCUUCACACUUAGGAUGCUGGUGGAAUGGCUUUAAACGACCCGUCUUGAAACACGGACC
This 612-nucleotide ribosomal RNA is filed under the name Rhodotorula mucilaginosa. RNAcentral's name for it is "partial large subunit ribosomal RNA". It matches the Rfam family "Eukaryotic large subunit ribosomal RNA", at positions 38 to 667 of the family's 3401-position model. The record is from RNAcentral. Lineage: Eukaryota; Fungi; Basidiomycota; Microbotryomycetes; Sporidiobolales; Sporidiobolaceae.